RNAcentral lists this long non-coding RNA (4200 nucleotides) under Takifugu rubripes (torafugu). RNAcentral describes it as "lncRNA (ENSTRUG00000028214.1)". The record is from RNAcentral. Lineage: Eukaryota; Metazoa; Chordata; Actinopteri; Tetraodontiformes; Tetraodontidae.
AUGAGUGCAGGACACGCUACCUUUCCGGUAUUCCACCACACCAACCCCUCCGUGGUAGCCGGAGUCGUGGAUGAAGACCCCGUCCCUGCUCACGCUGUCAGAGGAUUGUUCCUUCCCGUCCAAGAGAACCUCUCCUCUCCCUCCUGCUGCCAGCUCUCGUUAAAGCCAUGCCUGCGGGCUACGCCGGCAGAGGCCGUCAUUCACCACCAAGUCAAAGCGAUGAGGAAGGUUCCGCACAAACCCGCCUGCUAUGUGAGACAGCUGAACUGCACUCAACAGUAUCCACUGAAGUUUAGUCCGUCUAAAGGGGAUCAAAAAGCAAAUGUCCAGAUGCACUCCUGUCAUAAUGCAGCAACUUCCCAACUCAACACCAUCCAUUAAUCUAUUCAGUUAACUGAUGAGUUGAUAGUCUGAAUACAACAUAAAUCAGUUCAACCAGUUCAAAGGUUUUAAUGUGUUGUUUGAACCAAAUUACAGGACACAAGACUACACGUUCUCCUCCCCGUCUACACUGAGGUGAUAAUAAGGUCCAGCCUGCUGGUCUUCUUUAAGGAAGGUGAGUGAGCAGAUCCAGGGUCUGUACGUCCUUCGGACGGCGUUUGGACCAGGACGGGUUCAUGGGGAGAGGUGUGCUUGGGAAGAGCUCACAAAACAUGAGAACUUGAAGGGAUCCCCAACUAGGAACAAUAGACCUGAUUUAAUAAACAUUAACUUCAACUCUAAACAUGAAAUGUAUAUAAAAUAAAAAAAUAAUCUGACAUUUGGCUUUCCUAAACUUUUAUGAAACAAUUCCCCCCAGAGGCUGUUUCUAGUUAAUGACAACGAUGGGUUAUACUGGGACUAGUGAUGCUCUGUAUGGUCCAUGAUUGCAAUAAUGCACAAUAAUCGCACCCUCCUACGUUCAGUUCUGACACAAACAUUCCCUUUUUAAUAAGCAGCUUCCUUUACUGUUCUGUUGGAGUAACGCUGCAGUCUAGCCUAUAAUAGUCAUGCUAAGAAAUGGACCCAAGUCACAAUGGCAAAUAAAUGCAUGCGCUCAUUGUCUCAACAUAUGCUUUGAAAUUUCCCUUUCUCGCAACACUAAUGUGAGAUAACGAACCGUGGUCUGACCCCACCGACAGACGGAGACUUGAUUAGCUAUACUAGAGUAUCGGGGUGAGAUUUUUUUUAUCGCUUCAAGAAAAAAGGUGAAAUGUUCAGAAUAUGAAGUCAAAAUUUGUCUAGAAAUGAAGCCAAAUCAAGGACGUAGCUUCACCAACUCAUCCAACUGUCUGCACAGCAUUUUGAGAAGCUGUCGUACGUGCUGGUAACCUCAAAAAGUGACUUUAGUCUUGACAUUUUAGUUCUACUUUCUUCUCAAAAAUCUAUUUUGAGUUUAUUCUUGAAGAGCGUGAUAAAAAAGAUCUCUCUCCUAUUAAGAUCGCUCAUGUCCCAACGCCAACGCAGAGAGUCUAGUCUAACCCGCCUACUUUACUAGUUGUUACUGACUAGUCCGACCCUUCUACUUUAUGAGUUGUUACUGACUAGUCUAACCAUUCUACUUUAUUGGUUGUUACUGACUAGUCCCACCCUUCUACUUUACUAGUUGUUACUGACUAGUCUAACCCGUCUACUUUAUUGGUUGUUACUAACUAGUCCAACCAUUCUACUUUAUUGGUUGUUACUGACUAGUCCCACCCUUCUACUUUAUUGGUUGUUACUGACCAGUCCAACCCUUCUACUUCUUUGGUUGUUACUGACUAGUCCCACCAUUCUACUUUAUUGGUUGUUACUGACUAGUCUAACCCGUCUACUUUAUUGGUUGUUACUGACUAGUCCAACCCUUCUACUUCUUUGGUUGUUACUGACUAGUCCCACCAUUCUACUUUAUUGGUUGUUACUGACUAGUCUAACCCGUCUACUUUAUUGGUUGUUACUGACUAGUCCCACCAUUCUACUUUAUUGGUUGUUACUGACUAGUCCCACCCUUCUACUUUAUUGGUUGUUACUGACUAGUCCAACCCUUCUACUUUAUUGGUUGUUACUGACUAGUCCAACCAUUCUACUUUAUUGGUUGUUACUGACUAGUCCCACCCUUCUACUUUAUUGGUUGUUACUGACUAGUCCAACCAUUCUACUUUAUUGGUUGUUACUGACUAGUCCCACCCUUCUACUUUAUUGGUUGUUACUGACUAGUCUAACCAUUUAUUGGUUGUGGUGACCUCCACAGGUUAAAAAUGUAUUAAACAUCUUAUUCAAGACUUUUCACUCAUCAGCAACAACACUUUAUAGCAUAAUUGGACGAUAGCAUAACAGCAUAUUAAGAACAAAGGUUUCAGUAUUUGGGAUUUCCCUGAAUACCAACAAAAAAACAGACACGUACACAUUGUUUCUUAGACCUAGCUGAAGAGUCCACAUGCCAAAGUUAACGCCAUAAUAUCAUGCUACAUAAGACAAGCUGCUUCUGCAUCAGAGAUCUCCUGGAGACACUCUUCUCCUCAGAGCACCUGCCACCCUCACAGCACAUAGCUUUCUUCACCCUCCUUCUCCGAACAGUGCUUUUGACCUGCGUUAGCCACAGCAGCAUAUUGAACUGAUGUGUCAACAGACAGCUUUAUUAAUGCUUUACAAAGAUAUUUUCUGUAUUUGCAGUCCAGCAAAACUCCUGCAGGGACUGAAGUUUAUGAUGAAAUAAAUCUAAACACAAAAAAGACUCUGGAGAAAAGAUGCUUAUGGCGGUUUAUUCUCGUGCUUCUCACAUGGGCAGCUCCUACCAAAGGCUGAUUACAGUUGCCAGGCUAAUUAAACAUUAAACUGGUCCUGGAGAAUAGGAAAACAGUUCCAGAAAGGUGGCAUGUCAGAACCAAAUAGGACCUCUUUAGAUAUCUGCAGCAGCACUUUUAUAAGCCUGAUCCACACAGCCCAAAACCAAAUUACUGGAUUGAUGUGUUCAACAGUCCACAAAGAUCACUGUGGCCUUAGACUUGUUCUAGUGGACUUCUGUUGAUGCAGCUGCAACAGCAGGCAAAGGACACAGAAAUCUUAAAGAUAUUUGAACUUGGACUUUUAGAGCCUUUUGGCUGAGAGGUGAAGUGUCAUCAAGACUCUAAAAGAAGACGUUGCCUUUGACUUAAAGCUUUCUGGGUGACCGUGACCUGAAUAGGAAUUUACAAAGAAAAAAUAUCAACAACUAUAAAAAUAUGCCAGUGAGCGUGAAAACAGCGCAGCACUGUGUGAAGCUUUUUAUGAAACUGAUAACAUUCUGUGAUAGAGGGGAGGAGCGAGAGGUUUGUACCUGAGCGCUGGGCCGUGCUACGGCGGCACCAAGGUGGAAAAACACCAUCCAUUUGUCUGGGACGUGUGCGUCAUCGUGGACGCCACAAAUCCUCCGGUGGUGUGACCGUUUGAAUGUUGGACACUUCAGACAAUAUAUUUGAGAAAUAUACCAAUGAAAGCCUUGCAGCAUUAGGGGCCAGGUCCAACUGGUGCUGGCAGCUAAAGGGGGCCUAAAAGUGAGCUAAUGUCUGGGUCUUAGAAGAGCUCAGAGGAAUUUAUUCAAAGCAAAGUCAAGUGCUGAUACAGCAAAUUCAAAGAGAACUGAAAGGUAACGAGGCUGAGCUAACGUCUUUCAAAUCCUUGACCUUUAAAGUCCCCACAGAGCCAACGAUUUCUUUCUGGAAAGCACUUCAUAAGCAUUAUGAAGUAAAAUAUGUAAUGAACGUAAUUUCCAUAAUCUCUGGAUGAACAAGGCCCAGACGUGUUACUUACGGCAGCGGUGAGCCGUCUGUCUCCCUCCUGUGUUUAAAAAGCUGCACAACAUGAGAAAACUAGAAAACCUGCAGGCAAAUUUCUGCUGCAGCCAAAUCAGGAGCCGACAGCCGUCCUGGCGCUGACCUGCUAAUCAGUGUUGAUGUUGCUGUCGAGACAAGCCAACAUCACUUUACACAGCCAUUCUCAAGUAUGCGCAUUUCUGGAGUCGUUGCUAUGGCAACAGAGCAAACACAGACAGAAGUCCCAUGUCCAUUCAGCUGUCUACAGAGUGGUUUGGCCUCGAGCCUUUGGAGAGCUCGAAUUUCUUGGUUUUGUGAAUUUAAAUGACAAAACAAUGCAGUCUUGCACCCCUCCGCUCCUUUACCUUCGUUCUCAGGGUUAGGGUUAAAAGCUUUAACUGGAAUUUUAAAGGUUAAUGGCCGGAGCCGCCGCCCAGAGCCCCCCUCCCAG